ACAACUUUCAGCAACGGAUCUCUUGGCUCUCGCAUCGAUGAAGAACGCAGCGAAACGCGAUAUGAAUUGUGAAUUGCAGAAACCCCGUGAAUCAUCGUAUCUUUGAACGCAUCUUGCGCCCAUUGGUAUUCCGAUGGGCAUGUCUGUUUGAGUGUCGCGU
Molecule: ribosomal RNA, 160 nt
Filed under: uncultured Basidiomycota
Lineage: Eukaryota; Fungi; Basidiomycota
Description: 5.8S ribosomal RNA
Rfam family: 5.8S ribosomal RNA
About the family: 5.8S ribosomal RNA (5.8S rRNA) is a component of the large subunit of the eukaryotic ribosome. It is transcribed by RNA polymerase I as part of the 45S precursor that also contains 18S and 28S rRNA.
Source: RNAcentral